UUAAGUUCAGCGGGUAUUCCUACCUGAUCUGAGGUCAACCUUGAGAAAGUUGGGGGGUUUUACGGCAGGAUCCGCGCCGCUCUCCGACCCGCGAGGUGAGUUACUACUACGCAGAGGAGGCUACGGCGCGGUCGCCACUGUAUUUGGGAGCCGCCACCCACGAGGGGCGGCCGAUCUCCAACACCGCCCCCGGCCGCGCG
This 200-nucleotide unclassified non-coding RNA is filed under the name Hydropisphaera sp. RNAcentral describes it as "partial internal transcribed spacer 2". Lineage: Eukaryota; Fungi; Ascomycota; Sordariomycetes; Hypocreales; Bionectriaceae. The record is from RNAcentral.